UUAAUGGUCUCUAAGCAAAGUUUGUUUUUUUUAAAGUUAUUUAAAUUCUUCAUUAAUACCAUUGAUAUAUUGCUAACAUUUUAAAUGCUUUAUUUCUAUUCAUACUGCAGAUGGUGAUCUCUUUUUGGAACACACUGCGUUCUUAGUAAUAUUAUUUUUUAUUCAAAACCUUUAGAAAUAUAUCUAAAUAAUUUCUAACUUAAUACCAAAUAGAAAGAAUAAAAAAAAAACAAUUAAAACAAAAAACCAAAAGUAAAAAAAAAAAAA
This is a non-coding RNA of Biomphalaria pfeifferi, 267 nucleotides long. The record is from the annotation of a GenBank genome assembly. Lineage: Eukaryota; Metazoa; Mollusca; Gastropoda; Planorbidae.